Molecule: transfer RNA, 68 nt
Filed under: Marmota monax (woodchuck)
Lineage: Eukaryota; Metazoa; Chordata; Mammalia; Rodentia; Sciuridae
Description: tRNA.Ala
Source: RNAcentral
GUUGGAGUUCAGUGGUAGAACAUUUGCUUAGCAUGUACAAGGCCCUGGGUUUGAUCCUCAGAAAAACA